GGAAGUAAAAUCGUAACAAGGUUUCCGUAGGUGAACCUGCGGAAGGAUCAUUAUUGUAUAACCGAGGUGCGAGGGCUGUCGCUGACCCGAAAGGUCGUGCACGCCCGAGUGCCCUCACACACAUCCAUCUCACCCCUAUGUGCACCACCGCGUGGGUCCCCCUUUGGCUUGUUCGGAGGGGGGCUUACGCUUUCACACAAACUUUGUAUGCAGUGUAGAAUGUAUUUUUUGUUUUUGCGAUCACGCAAUCAAUACAACUUUCAACAACGGAUCUCUUGGCUCUC
RNAcentral lists this unclassified non-coding RNA (284 nucleotides) under plant metagenome. RNAcentral describes it as "partial contains small subunit ribosomal RNA, internal transcribed spacer 1, and 5.8S ribosomal RNA". The stretch from base 1 to 53 matches the Rfam family "Eukaryotic small subunit ribosomal RNA", at positions 1778 to 1831 of the family's 1831-position model. The record is from RNAcentral.